ACAGACCUGCUGCAACGACUGCUGCAUCUUCUCUUGUCAUUAACGAAACCUUAGCACACCGCACCCACCCACGGACUCCAGAUGAUUCACACCUUCUUUGUGCUUGAGUAUGCCAGCGUGGGAUCAUUUUACCAAAUGAUAUCCAAGAAAGGGAAACCUGUGGAGAGAAAUGGUGUGAGUUCAAGCAAACACUCCCAGAAAAGGAAAGGGGCAGACAAAAAAGGAGGCAUAGAAGAGUGCUUGAGGUUACCAUAAUAGGGGGACCCACCCAAGCUCCAAGAAACUUUAGUAAUAAACAUCUAAUUGACUCAAAUGAGCAGUGGAGAGAUGAUUCUUCUAAACAAAGUCUCCAGCUUAAGGACAAAUGUAUACUACCUGUGGUG
Xenopus tropicalis (tropical clawed frog) is the source of this 383-nucleotide long non-coding RNA. RefSeq lists it as uncharacterized. The record is from RefSeq and is a predicted model, not a curated record. Lineage: Eukaryota; Metazoa; Chordata; Amphibia; Anura; Pipidae. The transcript has 4 exons.